Molecule: ribosomal RNA, 468 nt
Filed under: uncultured bacterium
Lineage: Bacteria
Description: partial 16S ribosomal RNA
Rfam family: Bacterial small subunit ribosomal RNA
Source: RNAcentral
GACGAACGCUGGCGGCGUGCUUAACACAUGCCAGUCGAACGGAAAGGCCCUGCUUUUGUGGGGUGCUCGAGUGGCGAACGGGUGAGUAACACGUGAGUAACCUGCCCUUGACUUUGGGAUAACUUCAGGUAACUGGGGCUAAUACCGGAUAGGAGCUCCUGCUGCAUGGUGGGGGUUGGAAAGUUUCGGCGGUUGGGGAUGGACUCGCGGCUUAUCAGCUUGUUGGUGGGGUAGUGGCUUACCAAGGCUUUGACGGGUAGCCGGCCUGAGAGGGUGACCGGCCAGAAUGGGACUGAGAGACGGCCCAGAGUGCAACGGGAGGCAGCAGGGGGGAAUAUUGCAGAAUGGGCGGAAGCAUGAUGCAGAAAAGCAGCGUGCGGGAUGACGGCCUUCGGGUUGUAAACCGAUUUAGACUGUGACGAAGCGUGAGUGACGGUAAUGGGUAAAGAAGCACCGGCUAACUACGUG